CCUGAACGCUGGCGGCGUGGCUAAGACAUGCAAGUCGCACGGUGUAGCAAUACACAGUGGCGAACGGGUGAGUAAUGAAUCGCUAAUGUACCCCGGACUCUGGGAUAGCCAUCCGAAAGGGUGGGUAAUACCAGAUGACAUAUCCUGCUCGCAUGAGUGGGAUCUCAAAGGUCCGCCGGUCUGGGAGCAGGCGAUUUCGUAUCAGCUAGUUGGUGGGGAACGGCCCACCAAGGCGACGACGCGUAGCCGGACUGAGAGGUUGGCCGGCCAC
RNAcentral lists this ribosomal RNA (271 nucleotides) under uncultured bacterium. RNAcentral's name for it is "partial 16S ribosomal RNA". It matches the Rfam family "Bacterial small subunit ribosomal RNA", at positions 30 to 311 of the family's 1533-position model. The record is from RNAcentral.